Non-coding RNA from Ictalurus furcatus (blue catfish), 1661 nucleotides. The record is from the annotation of a RefSeq genome assembly. Lineage: Eukaryota; Metazoa; Chordata; Actinopteri; Siluriformes; Ictaluridae.
GGACCCGCUGGAGAGGAGAAACACACACACACACACACACACACACACACACACACACACACACACACACACACACACAAUUAGAAAUGAUUUUGAAAUAUUUCUGUAACUUUGUGGAACUGUCUGAUCUUACAGAGUAAUUAAGUCUAAUAAAGUCUGACUUCAUGACUGAGUUUCAUUGAGUACUUUAUUAUUUGACAUCAGUUUCAGUGCAGAGACAAAACAAACAUGUUCCACACUGUAAUUUAUCUGGGAAAAAUCAUUUUUUAUAACAAGUGUUAUUACUUUAUAGUUCAAACCUUCAGCAUAUUUAACUGCAGCAAAUACAAAUGUAGCUGAUUACAGAAAUAUUCAUUGUUUAACACAAACACACACAGCAGCUUUCAUCUGGAUUUUACAUCCGCACAAAGUAACUCUAUUUAUUAAAUGUUUAUUAUAGAGGAACUGCAGAGUUAUUGCAUGUCGAAUAUAUAGCGAGUGUGUAAUUAUUACAUAUUUAACAUCAAUAAUUGUAGAUUUGUUGAAUGUUCAAGAACAUUGAUAUGGGAUCUGUUCUGAUACUGAAAUGUGUUCCUCAUCAGAGCUUAAUAAUACACAAUAACAUCAAUGAUGCAAUUAUAAACAUAAAUAAUCUGUUUAGUUUAAGUUUAUUUAUUCAUGUAAUUAGUAAUGAACUAAAUGGAUUUUGUGUUAAAAGAAGAAAACACACUUACUGUUCACCACGAGUUUGGAGCCUCCACCAAAAGUCCACCACAGUGAUACAUUCUAAUGAAACCAUCGUACAAAAACCUCCAUCACACUGCAGUGCACACACACACACACACACACACACACACACACACACUCUCUCUCUCACACACACACACGCAGGCACAUACACACACACACACACACACACACACACACACACACACACACACACUUUGCAUUGCCAGUCCAUGCUUCAGUGCUCUGCGAGUGUUUAUAGCCCUGUGACUUUAACACUUCAUGACUGAGAGCUGCUGCUCAGCAACUUCACCCACAGCAACCAUGACUUUGAUCAGCGUCUUCAUCUGCACACUGGCCCUCUGGACUCAAGGAUCCAGAGGUCAGGUGACUGUGACUCAGACUCCUUCAGUGCAAACUGUUGAUCCAGAAGAAACAGUCACCUUCAACUGUAGAACCAGUAGCAGUGUGAAUGAUGGCAAUGACCUAUUCUGGUACCUGCAGAAACCUGGAGAAGCUCCUAAACUCCUGAUCUACUGGGCUACUAACUUACAGUCAGGAACUCCAGCUCGUUUCAGUGGCAGUGGAUCUAAUACUGACUUCACUCUGACCAUCAGAGGAGUCCAGACUGAAGAUGCAGGAGAUUACUACUGUCAGAGUUACCAUAGUGGUGGAGUGUUCACACAGUGUUAGAGCACCGUACAAAAACCUCGGUCAGUGAGAGUGCACAGAGAAGCACUGCUGCAGCUGGGAGCGACUGCAGGUGCUGAGGGGGAGGAUGUGAUACAGCACAAUGACACACACUGUGGACGAGAGAAAACACACCACACUAACUCACUAAUGCACACACACAUCUGUGAGAGGAGUCCACCUUUCUCAGCUGUGGACAUACAAACUAUUCCUCAUCAUUCUCUUUCACUGCUUAGUAAUUAUCUUUAUCCUCAUUUAAAUCAUUA